UGGGGAAUAUUGCACAAUGGGCGCAAGCCUGAUGCAGCCAUGCCGCGUGUAUGAAGAAGGCCUUCGGGUUGUAAAGUACUUUCAGCGGGGAGGAAGGGAGUAAAGUUAAUACCUUUGCUCAUUGACGUUACCCGCAGAAGAAGCACCGGCUAACUCCGUGCCAGCAGCCGCGGUAAUACGGAGGGUGCAAGCGUUAAUCGGAAUUACUGGGCGUAAAGCGCACGCAGGCGGUUUGUUAAGUCAGAUGUGAAAUCCUCGGGCUCAACCUGGGAACUGCAUCUGAUACUGGCAAGCUUGAGUCUCGUAGAGGGGGGUAGAAUUCCAGGGGGAGCGGUGAAAUGCGUAGAGAUCUGGAGGAAUACCGGUGGCGAAGGCGGCCCCCUGGACGAAGACUGACGCUCAGGUGCGAUAGCGUGGGGAGCAAACAGG
RNAcentral lists this ribosomal RNA (429 nucleotides) under Chloroflexota bacterium. RNAcentral describes it as "Chloroflexi bacterium partial 16S ribosomal RNA". It matches the Rfam family "Bacterial small subunit ribosomal RNA", at positions 355 to 776 of the family's 1533-position model. Lineage: Bacteria; Bacillati; Chloroflexota. The record is from RNAcentral.